GAGGAAGGCUGGGGGGGCGCCUCCUUUUGCAAGUCGAACGAGCGAGAGAGAGCUUGCUUUCUCAAGCGAGGGGCGAACGGGUGAGUAACGCGGGAGGACCCUGCCUCAAAGAGGGGGACAACAGUUGGAAACGACUGCUAAUACCGCAUAACCCCACGACCCGGCAUCGGGUAGAGGGAAAAGGAGCAAUCCGCUUUGAGAUGGCCUCGCGUCCAAUUAGCUAGUUGGGGAGGUAACGGCCCACCAAGGCGACAAUCGGUAGCCGGACUGAGAGGUUGAACGGCCACAUUGGGACUGAGACACGGCCCAAACUCCUACGGGAGGCAGCAGUGGGGAAUAUUGCACAAUGGGGGAAACCCUGAUGCACCGACGCCGCGUGAGCGAAGAAGGCUUUCGGGUCGUAAAGCACUGUUGUAUGGAAAGAAAUGCUAGAAUAGGGAAUGAUUUUAGUUUGACGGUACCAUACCAAAAAGGGACGGCUAAAUACGUG
Molecule: ribosomal RNA, 490 nt
Filed under: uncultured bacterium
Lineage: Bacteria
Description: bacterial SSU rRNA
Rfam family: Bacterial small subunit ribosomal RNA
Source: RNAcentral